UGUUAUAUACUUGAUUUGUAUAUGGUUGUUGGAAACGUAGAUCAGUACGUAUCAUACCGGAAUCACAGGGGUGCUCCGGGAUGAUGUUUGUAAAUAGUAUAAUCAUCUAUAUAUCCUCCGUAUCAAGUUACAUUAGCAUGCCUGUUCUCUUUCUCUUUACCACCGCAUGUUAAGGUAGUCACACACAAAUAUAUUGAGAGCAGUAAAAUUAGUUUUUAGAAACGAUUUCGUCCUUUAUUAGUCCCCCAAGGACGUUGAAUGGUGGAGGACCUCAAAUACUUCCCGCUGGCGUUAUGAACAUUGUAUUUUUUGUUUGCAUUCCGUCUUUAAUACUAGCUUUAUAAUGCAAUUAAUUGACAUUUUGAUUGUGUGAAUUUGACCCAAAUUACAGCGUAGUGUGUGUAUCGUCUGCACGCAAUCAUCAUGCAGAUAAGGAAUGUAUUUUUAGAUUGCAGUGACCAGCUACAUGAUAAUGAGCAAUGAUAAGCUACAGCGUGAAAUUCUUAAAUUGAGAAACAAACUUUCGCAUCAACGUGCCUUUAAUAAAACACCUAUAAUUUUAUCCGAUAGUAAAGGGAAAUAUUUAAAAUUACAAAGAAAUUUAGCAAUUGAAUCUGGCGUUCGUUUUUGGCAUAAAAAGGGAGCAACAACAAGAGACAGUUUUAAAUAUUUAGAA
RNAcentral lists this long non-coding RNA (676 nucleotides) under Mytilus galloprovincialis (Mediterranean mussel). The record is from RNAcentral. Lineage: Eukaryota; Metazoa; Mollusca; Bivalvia; Mytilida; Mytilidae.